GGGUGACCCCUGCUGGUUCUGACUCCAAGUGGUGUUUUGAUCCAUUGUCCUUUUUUUUACCUCCUUCUAGGUUAACUUGACAUAAUCUUCUCAAAGACGACUUUCCAAAUUCUCUGACACUGCUGAAAGUAUUCCUCUUUCUGUGGGUGUAUUGUAAUGAACUAGAUGCUUCAAUAAAUAUUCAUUAAAUAUUUGCGCUGUGCCAGGGAUUGUUCUGGGCAAACAAGGAUGAAUACAACGGACGAGGUUUUUACUCCGGCUAGUCUGGUAGGAGCACGAUAAUGAACUCUCACGUUAGCAAAUCUGAAAGGCAGGAGGUUACAGCAAACCAGGCAUGGAGAACAAAUAUUGACUCUCUGACAGCAACUAAUUAUUGGCACUUAGAAGCUGCUUAUGAAAGAAUAGCAAGUUCUCUGAGGAGGAAACACUGAAGCCAAGAUCUGAAGGACAAGGGGGAUUUCAGCAGCGGAGCAAGGUUUCACCAAGGCUCUGUGCAAGAAACCAGCUGUCUGAUUCGUGGGAAGAGAAGACUGGUGCGCCCAGUGGCUGGGAGAGUAGGGAGAAGCAGUUUAGUGGCCACAGGAGGUCAUUGGUGAAUUUUCAGUAAGAAAAAAAGAAAGAAAAGAAAGAAAUAAAGACAGACCGGUAUUCCUGCAAAGAGUGGAUUGCAGGGGAGCAAGAGGAGAGUCACAGAGAUCUUUAUCUUCCAACAUAAUGUUUACUGGCAAUACAGGAGAGAACAAAAGACGGCCCAGACACAUGACUUCUUAAAGAUAAGUGUGUCUUUAGCUCCUGCACUUACCCUGAUGGCUCCCUGAAGCUUGGCUGCUGGCUCAGUUCCUGCACAGACAGGUGGACACUGAAAUUCUUUGCAUCAAAACCUGUUAAAAAUACGAAGUAGACAAUAAAUGGCCUAGUUUUCCUCUUGCACGGGAAUGUCAUUUUUCCAGAAGGGGGCGCUCUCAGCCCGCAUGCCACAGAGCAAGGCCCAUACUCUGGUAUCUGAUCUGCUGCUUGGAAAUUGUCUGACAGGAAAAUAUCAACACAAACCAUGCGAUUUGCCGCUGGAGCACGCUGGACCUCAUCUGCUUAAAGAGAUGCAUGGAUAUAGUCAUCACAGUUCAUAAUUUAAUAAACUGCUAAAAAAACCCACACGUUUUCAUUUUAGCGACUUUGGUCUCACAACUAAAUUCACAUUGCUACAAAGACAUUUGAAUUUUGCACUAAUAUGUCAUAAGCACUGCACCCAUUGCAAAUUAAUGAGUCUCUGAAUAGCACUGUGCAUUUGUCAUUUGAAUUUAUGCUAAUGCAACGAGGUCUCCUGUGAUGCUGAUAGCCCACAGCAGCUGCUGGAGCCACAGAUGAGACCAGCACUUGCCUUCCACUUUGCGUCACCACCUCUCCUCCUGGCUUUUCCAGCCUGUCACUUAGGCUGCAACCCUGUAGCUCGCUAUUGAUAGGACUGAGAAUUAUCUUUGACUUUGCCCUACUGGCCUGACCCCAACACUGAACACACGUAACAGAUUGGUGUUGAGAGAAUUACGUACAUCACAAGGUGACAGCCCCAGACCAGGAGGUCACAAGGAGUUCACUGAGAACCAGUGGUAUUUAAAAAGGAUGUUGGCGUGGAAAUUGGCAAUAUUUUCCAGUUCUCUGGUGUGACUUAUAUCAAUAAGUGCAUCUAAGAAAGUGACUGACUUUUGCCACGGUGGUGAACAGCACGUGUAUGUGUGUGCAAAUGUAGAAGAGGGUUCUCUCGGGGCUUUCCUCUCCUGUUCAUGCUGAAAUCUAAUAAAACGGUGAUGGCAAGCUUCUGGGGGUAUCAGGUCAUCUGGGUCUUCAUCAUGGUUGUUCACAUUGCCUUUUGAUCAAAGGGGUGUGGGGAGUCGACUAGCUCCGGUGGUAGGAUGGUUGGUACAAGGGGCAAGUGUGUGGGAGGGACAUGCACAGAGAACCAUUUUUGUGUGUCAUGAGUCAGUGACAAAAAGUUCCCCGUGUCUUUCCCUGGAAAUGAAAACUUUUCUUAGGCUGGGGCUUCUAUUUGACCUGCUUCUAGAACUAAGGAUGAAGGCAUGUUGAGUUUAUUCUAAUGGAUUCAAGAAAUUGGAUUUGGGGUCUGGAGAUGACACGGAAAAAUGAAGCAGAAAAUUCAAACGAAAACACAGAAUUAUCCAUCUAGAUCACACACUUUUUGAAAAUUGCUUCUGAUUUGAAGGAAUGUUCUUUGCUUUGCUGGGGAACAAAGAGAAGCAUACAAACUUUUUCUUUUGAAUAAUUUUUUAGGAGGGGAUGAACAAACAAACAUUCAUUCUGGUUAUGAUGUAGCAUUGUUAGCCUCCAUUUCCAGAAUUUAAAUGAAGCCGACAAGGCAGACAGCUCCUGAAUUAUCUCCAAGACACUUUCUAAGGCCCGCAGGUGAGAUUGUUCCCCAAGUGGCAUCGAGACGUACACAGUGCAGAGGUGACAGUGACCUGUUUGUUUCAGAGACGGUGCCUGAGAACAGGAAGGCUCUUUUCUGAACCAGGAAACUCAGCUAUGUCGGAAGAAUUUCACCCAGACUCCACAGACCGAAGCAGAUUCUGCUUUGCUCUCUUUGUGAAAGACAACUGGAUGAGUGAAGAUUACUACUUGCAACGAGAGUAGCAAUUUAUCUGAAAUGAGAGGCAGAGAGAAAACAAUAUGUACUUUUUGCUGAUUCUGACUCAGAAUGGGCGGUGGUGAGGAAUAUUACUGAAUAAUGUUAUCCAGGUGGAAAGAGAACUAUGAAAAGUGUAAGGAAGCCAGGAGUGAUACUCGGGGUGAAAAUUCAGAUACAAUGAAGUGCUUGGAAGACUUUGAAUGUGAUUACAGUGAUAAAAAGUGAAGACAUAAUGUCAGUCGGAAUUGAAAGGAUGCAGAAUGGGUUGAUACUCAGAAAAUGAGUAUUUUGGAGAAGUUGGCCACUUUCUUAUCAAUACCAUCUGCAAUCCAUGGCAGAGACGAUAUUCUGUCAAACGCAAUUGCACGUACUACAGCAUGAUAAACAGGACUCUUUCUUCCUCAGUUCUGGCUGAGGCACGAAGACAUUGGAAACUAGAUUCAAGAAUGAAUCAUGAGGUGAUCAGUCACCUGAGAACCAGAAAGAUGACCCUGGAAUCCAGGGUGAGGAUCAAGAAAGUAGUGAGAGAAUGGGAGGUGGAGAGAGCUCUGAGCGUUGUGGGCUCAUGGGAGUCACUGGAGAGGUGCCUUUAUCUCAAGCCUUGUGAGAGAGGUUCAGAGGCACAGAGGCUUGGAGGACCUGAAGUGCGUUCCAUACAAGUGGAGAACACAGAGCCACGUGCGAUUCACACCUGAGAGAGGUAGGGCAGCCUGUAAGGGACAAGGAUCCUAUCUGGAAAGUUUCCGAACGUGCCUGUGUGAUGGGACCGAAGGUGUGUGAAUGGCAGCCUUGGAGAGAUUUCAGUGGAAUCGUGAGCUUGGGGCCAUUUGAACAUGGGACUCUGUAAAACAAGGUUGUGCCUGUUAUCUCGGAACUUCACAGUAUGUGGACAGGGAGGAUAUCACAGAGGAGAGAAGCUGCGGAAGGGUGCGGACCAGCCAGCCACAGGCGAAGGAACCGGACAAAGGAAUUGCAGCUGGAGGUGCCCAGAGGGAAAGUCUUCACAGAAUCUGCAGAACCACCCAGAGAGGAUGAUCCACUUGGUCGUCUGCUGGGCCUGAAGAACACAAGACCUUUCCACGAUGGUUCAGCCAAGAGAGAACUUUCAACUUUCUUUUGUCUCUCUUCCUUCCUACUUUGCACGCAGUUCUAGAAGGCUAAGAAAUAAGCAGUGACUGAAUGAGGGAGAAAGAAAAAUGAAGCGAGGGAGUAUCUCCUGGUCCUGAAGGUGUGGAAAACUGAUGGUCCCUUUCUUCCACAUCCCUUUACACUUUUACUUGGUGAGUGAUCUCCUCUUAUUGUCUGUAACUAGAAGCAUUUGGUGGGAAAUAAAUGAUCAAGAAGUUAUCUGACAACCUGGUGCAAACCUCCCUGUCUCUUGCCUCUCAGUUCUCGUCCCUCUUGUGGGAAGAUAUAGAAGGACUUGUUGAAAAACAACGGAGGGGCUGGCACUGUGGUGUAGCAGGUAAAGCAGCCACCUUGGGUGCCGGGAUCCCAUAUGGUGCUGGUUGGAGUCCUGGUUGCUCCAUUUCUGAUCUGGCUUCCUGCUAAUGUGCCUGGGAAAGCAGGGGAGGAUGGCCCAAGUGCUUGGGCAGCUGCAUCCACAUGGGAGAGUCAGAAGGAGCUCCUGGCUUUGGCCUUUCUCAGGCUUGGCUGUUGCAGCCAUUUGGGGAGUAAACCAGCAGAUGGAAGAUCUCACUCUCUCUGUCUCUCUCUGUAAC
Molecule: non-coding RNA, 4359 nt
Organism: Oryctolagus cuniculus (rabbit)
Lineage: Eukaryota; Metazoa; Chordata; Mammalia; Lagomorpha; Leporidae
Source: RefSeq, a predicted model, not a curated record